RNAcentral lists this long non-coding RNA (255 nucleotides) under Apteryx owenii (little spotted kiwi). Its description in RNAcentral is "lncRNA (ENSAOWG00000012859.1)". The record is from RNAcentral. Lineage: Eukaryota; Metazoa; Chordata; Aves; Apterygiformes; Apterygidae.
ACAUUUUCAGAGAUUUUGAAUGGGAAGUUCCAGCCUUGAAACAAGAUUUGCAAGUGCCACUAUGAAAUUAAGCAAUUCCUUGUAUCUGCAAGGAUAACCCCACAAUAAUGUAGGAAAGAACAUUAUUGAUAGAGCAAGCUACUUUAAGAUCUGAUUCAAUGCCAAAAAGGAGAAGUGCAAUACUCUAUGUUCUGCUAUUUGAAAACGCCCUUGAAAGUGUGACAUCUACCAAGGUUUCCACAACAAUGUAGUGGC